AGUGAACGCUGGCGGUAGGCCUAACACAUGCAAGUCGAACGGCAGCCCAGGAAGAGCUUGCUCUUACGGGUGGCGCGUGGCGGACGGGUGAGGAAUACAUCGGAAUCUACUUUUUCGUGGUGGCUAACGUAGGGAAACUUACGAUAAUACCGCAUACGACCUACGAUUUAAAGCAGGGUCUCUUCGGACCUUUCGCGAGUGAAUGACCCGAUAUCGGAUUGGCUAGUUGGCGGGGUAAGUGCCCACCAAGGCAGCGAUCCGUAGCUGGUCUGCGAGCAUGCUCAGCCACACUGGAACUGAGACACGGUCCAGACUCCUAUGGGAGGCAGCAGAGGGGAAUAUUGGACGAUGCGCGCAAGCAUGAUCCAGCCAUGCCGCGUGGGUGAAGAAGGCCUUCGGGUUGUAAAACCCUUGUGUUGGGAAAGAAAAGCAGCAUUUUAAUACCCCGAUAUUCUGACGGUACCCAAAGAAUAAGCACCGGCUAACUUCGUG
RNAcentral lists this ribosomal RNA (492 nucleotides) under uncultured bacterium. Its description in RNAcentral is "partial 16S ribosomal RNA". It matches the Rfam family "Bacterial small subunit ribosomal RNA", at positions 29 to 507 of the family's 1533-position model. The record is from RNAcentral.